RNAcentral lists this ribosomal RNA (2571 nucleotides) under Triticum aestivum (bread wheat). RNAcentral describes it as "partial small subunit ribosomal RNA". The record is from RNAcentral. Lineage: Eukaryota; Viridiplantae; Streptophyta; Magnoliopsida; Poales; Poaceae.
AUGGUGGCGGCGGCGGCUGCGGGGAAGCGGAAGCGAGAUCUCUCCGAGGACGAGGUGUACCUCAUCCUCCACAAGUACUCGCCCGCGACAAUCCUGACGGCGCUUCAGGAGGUGGCGCAGCACGCGGAGAGAAGGAGCAUCGACUGGAGGGCGCUGGUGGCCAAGACAGCCACGGGGAUCACCUCCGCCCGCGAGUACCAGAUGCUUUGGCGCUACAUCGCCUACCGACAUGACUUCAUCGAGAACGCCGAGGACAUCGGCGCCCAGCCUCUGGGUGAUGAGAGCGACUUGGAAUGUGAGAUUGAACCCUUUCCUAAGCCGAGCAACGAAGCUGCAGCUGAGGCCUCCCGGUUCGCGAAGAUCUUAAUCUAUGGACCUUCACGUGAGCAAGGUUCUAGUCAUUGUGUUAACUCAGAAGUUCCUCUGCUAAACACUCCAAAUGAGAAGAUACCGCGUGUUCCAUCUGACAAACAGCUUGCUCAGAGCCAUCGUCUAACAAAUGGUACAGGUCCAGUUUCCAACUCAAAACAGGCAUCCCAUACAGGGUUAUCUCCUGAUCCUUUUGAUGGGAAUGGACCUCAUAAAAAGACAAAGAAGCCUAAAGCAUGGUCCAACAAGGAGGAUGCAGACUUAAUGGAUGGUGUACAUAAGUGUGGUGAAGGAAAUUGGCUGAACAUUCUGCGUAAAUAUAACUUCGAUAGCACAAGAACUUAUGUUCAAUUGUCUCAGAGAUGGGCAGUCAUUUGCAGGCGUCAAGGAACAACCAAGCUUGCUAAAGUUAAAUCAGUCACCACGGAGUUCGAUAUAAAAGCUACUCAAAAGGCAUUCUCUAUGGCUCUUGAUAUGCCUAUGGGGAAGCCUGGUGGAUUCUCUACAUUAAGAUUAGGAGCUUCACAACAAAGCGCUCAACAUCCUGCUCCAGUAUUCGUUGCUGCGGCACCCGAGUUAAAAUGUGCAACAUCCUCUUCAUCACUCCCGUUGCCAGUACCAGUGUCAGCACAAGGGCAGAUUCCACUUCCUCGGGUGCAACCAGCUCCUGCUCAAGCUGCAGCCUCAAAAGUGUCAAAUACUUCAAACAAGUCACAAAAUAGCUCUAAGAAGCAAAAUGCACAAGCAAAUCCUACAAAUGCUCCUUCCUCGAUACAAGCUGCAGCUAUUGCUGCUGGUGGACGAAUCGCCCCAGCAAGCAUCGCCACCAAUUUAUUGAAAGCUGCACAAUCCUCGCAAGCUGUGCACAUAACCCCGAAAGCUAAGCACAUAAGACCUCGAGGAAAAGGAUCUUCAAAAACUUCUACAAGCUCUAAAGCAUCCACUAUGGCUGGUGAGCCUGGAACACAGCCUGGUAGUGCUGAACACCCAGAACUUCCAAACUGUAGUGCCCCUACACCAUCUCCUCCGGUUUUGAUAACACAGUCAAUUGAGCAAGUUAAUGUUGUGUCAGAAGUUGCAGGAGUUAACCCCCCUGAACAAUCUGCUAGUGCACAUUUGUUGGAACCUGAUAGAGCAUUGAGCACCACACCAGUGUCUGGCCCAUGCGACAAUAUGGAGAUGGACGACGACUCUACAUUUUGUGCAGUCACGAUGGAGGACUUGUUUCCUGAAGACGUGAAGCAGCCGGAGAUGGUGAAGCAGCCAGAGAUAGUGAAGCAGCAUGAGAUGAUAGACCCCAAAGGUGAGGAGAGCAUAGAUCCCAAGGAUGCCGACAUGCUGGAGUUCGAUCGCUUUGUUGCCCAAGGAUGCUUGACUACAGAUUGUUUGGAUAAGAGCAAAGGUGUCAAAAUUGCUCCUGGAGCUCAAGGUGCUAUUCCCAGCCAGAAGAAACAACCGAAACAGCAACCCACAGUUGUGAAAAGCAUCCCUGCGUCUGCUAGAGCACCAGCAACCGUGAAGAAGACCAAAACUCUAGCUUCACAUGGGGCGACCUUUCCAUCAACAGUCACCUCUAGUGGCCUUGUUGGCACAGGCAAUGCUGGUGUGCUGAGUAAAGCAAUAUAUCGGAAGUCACCUGGCCCAGGCACCACAGGCAAACAAAAUAGGUGCCAAGAAAUUAUGGCCCAGAAGCAGCAUGCUAUGAGCUCAAAUAGUAGUGCAAUGGCCAGGAAUGCAGCUCCUGGCGUCGGAACACCAGCCAGGAAUGCGGCUCCGGGGGUUGGAACACCAGCCAGGAAUGCGGCUCCGGGCGUUGGAAUACCAGCCAAGAAUAUGUCUCCCGGUGCCGGAACACCAGUUAGGAAUGCGGUUCCAGCCACCGGAACACUAGCUAAAAAUAUGGCUCCUGCCACCGGAGCACCAGCCAGGAAUGCGGCUCCUGGCACUGGAAUAACACCAGCCAGGAACUUGCUUACUGGCACUGGAACACCACCAGCCAGGAACUCGCUUACCGGCACUGCAACACCACCAGUCAGGACUGCGGCUCCUGGCACUGCAACACCACCAGUCAGGAACCCGGCUCCCAGUGCUGGAACUCCACCAGGCAGGAACUCGCUUACCGGCACCGGAACACCAGCCAGUCGCCAAUAUACCCCAGUGGUGAAUGGGGCUAGCAAGGGGAAUCCACCUGCCAGCCAAUAG